AGAACGAACGCUGGCGGCAUGCCUAACACAUGCAAGUCGAACGCUCUUGGGGCUUCGGUUUCGAGGGAGUGGCGCACGGGUGAGUAGCGCGUGGGAACCUGUCCUGUUGUGGGGGAUAACCGAGGGAAACUUCGGCUAAUACCGCAUGCGCCCCGGUGAAAGCCGGGGGAAAGAUUUAUCGCAGCAGGAGGGGCCCGCGUCGGAUUAGCUAGUUGGCGGGGUAACGGCCCACCAAGGCGAUGAUCCGUAGCUGGUCUGAGAGGAUGAUCAGCCACACUGGGACUGAGACACGGCCCAGACUCCUACGGGAGGCAGCAGUGGGGAAUAUUGGACAAUGGGCGCAAGCCUGAUCCAGCAAUGCCGCGUGAGUGAUGAAGGCCUUCGGGUUGUAAAGCUCUUUGGCGGGACGAUGAUGACGGUACCGCAGAAGAGCCCCGGCUAACUUCGCGCCAGCAGCCGC
RNAcentral lists this ribosomal RNA (460 nucleotides) under uncultured bacterium. RNAcentral's name for it is "SSU rRNA". It matches the Rfam family "Bacterial small subunit ribosomal RNA", at positions 26 to 518 of the family's 1533-position model. The record is from RNAcentral.